This is a transfer RNA of 71 nucleotides. It matches the Rfam family "tRNA". From Rfam's summary of the family: Transfer RNA (tRNA) molecules are approximately 80 nucleotides in length.
GGGGGUGUGGUGUAAUUGGUAGCAUAAAGGAUUCCAAAUCCUUUGGUUGCAGUUCAAGUCUGUACACCCUU